GGAGUUGUAGCUCAGUGGUAGAGUGCCUGCCUCACAUGUAUGAGACACUGGGUUCAAACCUCAGUACCA
RNAcentral lists this transfer RNA (69 nucleotides) under Marmota marmota marmota (Alpine marmot). It matches the Rfam family "tRNA". From Rfam's summary of the family: Transfer RNA (tRNA) molecules are approximately 80 nucleotides in length. Their secondary structure includes four short double-helical elements and three loops (D, anti-codon, and T loops). The record is from Rfam by way of RNAcentral. RNAcentral also lists the same sequence under 3 other names. Lineage: Eukaryota; Metazoa; Chordata; Mammalia; Rodentia; Sciuridae.